GUGUCCUUUUAAGACUGGUGCAGUGCCUUAAGAGAUUAACAGAGAGGGUAAAGGCAGUCUCUGAAAAAUUCAGAAAAGAUUAUAAAACUUCUCUUUGAGUGCUUUCUGGAGCUACAGUG
Sorex araneus (European shrew) is the source of this 119-nucleotide small nucleolar RNA. The record is from Ensembl. NCBI's taxonomy places the organism in Eukaryota, Metazoa, Chordata, Mammalia, Eulipotyphla, Soricidae.